RNAcentral lists this ribosomal RNA (900 nucleotides) under uncultured bacterium. RNAcentral's name for it is "bacterial SSU rRNA". It matches the Rfam family "Bacterial small subunit ribosomal RNA", at positions 8 to 897 of the family's 1533-position model. The record is from RNAcentral.
AGAGUUUGAUCAUGGCUCAGGAUGAACGCUAGCGGCAGGCCUAACACAUGCAAGUCGAGGGGCAGCGGGUCCAGCUUGCUGGAUGCCGGCGACCGGCGCACGGGUGCGCAACGCGUAUGGAACCUGCCCGUUACGGGGGAACAGCCCGGGGAAACCCGGAUUAAUGCCCCAUGUUGGCCCUGCGCGGCAUCGCGCGGGGCCCAAAGGCCCUCGGGCCGGUAACGGAUGGCCAUGCGUACCAUUAGCUUGUUGGCGGGGUAACGGCCCACCAAGGCCACGAUGGUUAGGGGCCCUGAGAGGGGGGCCCCCCACACUGGUACUGAGACACGGACCAGACUCCUACGGGAGGCAGCAGUGAGGAAUAUUGGACAAUGGGCGGGAGCCUGAUCCAGCCAUGCCGCGUGCGGGAAGAAGGCCCUACGGGUCGUAAACCGCUUUUGUACGGGAAGAACGAGGGGCACGCGUGCCCCGUUGACGGUACCGUAAGAAUAAGGACCGGCUAACUCCGUGCCAGCAGCCGCGGUAAUACGGAGGGUCCGAGCGUUAUCCGGAAUCAUUGGGUUUAAAGGGUCCGCAGGCGGGCCGUUAAGUCAGGGGUGAAAGCCCGCGGCUCAACCGCGGGACUGCCCUUGAUACUGGCGGCCUUGAAUCACGGCGGGGCGGGCGGAACAUGUAGUGUAGCGGUGAAAUGCAUAGAUAUUACAUAGAACACCGAUCGCGAAGGCAGCUCGCCAGCCGUGUAUUGACGCUGAGGGACGAAAGCGCGGGGAGCGAACGGGAUUAGAUACCCCGGUAGUCCGCGCCGUAAACGAUGGAUACUAGCUGUCCUGCGCCCUGAGCGCGGGGCGGCCCAGCGAAAGUGAUAAGUAUCCCACCUGGGGAGUACGUUCGCAAGAAUGA